UUUAAUGCGAUGAAGGGAAGAAGUAAAUUAGUGGAAGUUUAAAGAGAGGAAUUCUUAGUAGCUGAGAGGAAUUCUAAAGGAAAACUAGUUGAAUGCAUUCUGGAGCACUAAGUUGAAAAGUGAAGUAGGCUUAGCAGGUGUGCCUGAUACAGCACAAAGAGAUGUUAUGUAUAAAUAUAAUGCAUAAUAAAUCAGAGUGGAACCGCGGGAAUAUUCUGCCUCUGUU
Molecule: non-coding RNA, 226 nt
Filed under: Clostridium sp.
Lineage: Bacteria; Bacillati; Bacillota; Clostridia; Eubacteriales; Clostridiaceae
Description: T-box sequence
Rfam family: T-box leader
About the family: Uncharged tRNA acts as the effector for transcription antitermination of genes in the T-box leader family.
Source: RNAcentral